GUAAUAAGGUCACUUUGAUAAGAAAUUUGUGAGAAAACUGGACGUGCACUGUGGAGCACAUUCUUCUGCAAGCAAAUCAAAGUUGCUUGCCAAGCAAAAUUAAGUGUAACAAAGCACGAUGUGUUUUGUUUAGUGGUUUUUCGUUUGCAAUUAUAUACAAGAUUACAAGCAGAUGUUUAGGGCGUUUUAUUGCUUAUGGAGCUGUCUAGUUUUUCUCUUUUAAUGAUUACAUGUGAGGAAAGGAAACGGAGGACCAACCUGGACAGCGACCAUUGGUUUUAUGGUGUCACGGUGGUGGCUGGUGACUGGUGCUCCACAAUGGUGGCUAGAGACGGCGGUGCAGUAACAACUGGUAUGGCAUUAGAGGGAUGAGGCCGCGUCCUGAAAGAAAUUAACAGAGGUGUGGAAAGGGACUCUGCAACACAACUUUUUGAUGUUUUGGUUGCAUCUAAAAUUGAUUACAUAAUGGUAUUCGAAAACCAAUCAACAAAAUUUUAAAACCAAAGAAUUAUUAAUUAUCUAAAACCAAACUUCUUUAUAUUGAGUUUAGUUUUGUUCAAAAUGUAGUUCUUAUUGUUUUCAAAACAUAUAUAUACACUAUUAUUUGACGUUGCGCAUAUUUUUAACAAUAUUUAAUAUUUGAUAAAAACACAUAUCUUAUAAAAUUAAUCAAAUUUAUAUACUAUAUUUUGAAUUAAAAUAAUAAUAAUUACAAUAAAUAAAUGACAAAAAAUCAUUAAAAAAAUUAUAUGUAGAUAUACUUAUGCGUUAUAUUAAUUCAAAUUACGAUUAAAAAUUUUUAGGAAUCAAUUUGACUAUAAAUGCAAUAUGUUGAAAAUAAAUAAAUAAUUUAUAUGAAAAAACAUUAUAUAAUAAUUAUAAUAAAUACUGCAACAUUUAUAUAUAAUAAAUAAUUUAAAUUUUUAAAUAAAUUUCUAAGAGUUGAAAAGUGGAAUUAACAUUAUGUCCUAAUCAUGUUUCUAUGGUUUGUAAAAGCAUAUAUAGUUCCUUCUGCUGCAGAAGUCGUUCUUAGAGCAGUUUGAGAUUCUAUCAGGUGAGGGAAGUUAAUUAUCAUUAUUUUCAAAUUCUAAUAUGAUUAGAAUUGUGUGUGCAUGUUUGAUGGUCUGUUAUUGAUUUAAAUUAUUGAUUUUAAUUGAUGGAAUCAUGGUUAAAAUCUAUUUUGAGUUUUAUGAUGGUGUGUUGUUUGAAAUGUUUGAAUUGGUCUAUAACUAAUAGUCCGCUAUAGGGAUGUUUUGUUGGGACAGCUAGUUGAAAUUGUGGUUGUGUUUGUCGGUCUGAAAUGGAUGAAAUUUAAGUCUUGGUUAGUUGAAAAUACUGUUGAAAUCUUGUUUGGGAAAUAUGAUUGUGUGAUGUUUGAAUUGGUUUAUUUAAAGUUGAACGGGUGGAAUGGGUAUUUGAUGAGAUGAGCAAAUUGGUAUUCACUUUGACACUGAAGCAUGUUUUCAGAUCAAUCAUUGAGUUAGAAAUACCAAUUUGGUUGUUUGAUUUGGUACAUAGUUCAUCAAAUCACAAUUUGGGAAGCUGCAAAUUUUUAGUAUGGCGCUCAAUGCCAUAUUUCACUAUGAGCGGCCAAAAGUGCAAAUGGUCUUGCAUUGAGCGAUGAUAGGACACCACUGAACGCUAGUUACCAUUAUAGGUCUGGAACUAAAUUCAUUCUAAUUCGUUAAGCGACAGGUUGUUAGUUCCCUUCAUGUUGAGCGACACUCGAGUUUCUAAAUUGGAGCUUAUGAGUUCAAUCCCCUUUAAGUGUUCUCGAGAGUGUUUUAAUUGUUGUGAGGAGUUUCUCUCUAACUGUGCUCAAGCCAUCUCCGCAAUCGUGUUUGUAAAUGUUUCCUUCCCUCCCUCUUUAAUUUUAUUUCUUCUUUCCUUCAUGCUCUUUUAGUUCAUGUUUUUCUUUCAUUUUUACGUUCGUUCCUUGUUCUCGUUAGACUUGCUUUUGUUAUUACCUUAUGUUCUUUCAUCACUUUGCACUAUUUUCUUCUCUUCUUGCUCUCGUCAUUUUUCAUUUUUUUUACUAUGGAAUGUACUCUUAACAACAAUUUGUGGCCGACAUUUGAACAUUUUAUUUUAUUUAUGCAAUGCAAUCAUUAUCUGCUUUGUUUUAUAUGCAAGUUGAUGAUUUUCUACAAUUCUAUAAGAUAUGUUUGCUUAGCACAUGGGUGGAACCAUUUUCGUACAACGAUUAGGACAUCUGGUUAUACCUAUGAGACUCAAACAGUACAAAAUUGCAUCAUUUGAAAAACCGAGUAGCCACAAUGAUUUCAUAGACCUAUGUGUUAUUGAAAGAUAUGAUAUUUGUCGAGUCAUAUUGCUAGGCUUCUUUAGUCAAGAAGUCUAGCUAUCACUCAAAACAACACACUCUGUUAGGUUUAUGUAAUUGAAAACCUAAUUCUCUUCUCUCAUAAUUCACAAGAACACAAAACAGAAGAAUGAAUCGUAUUUCUUUCUUUAUUUGCUCAUUAACAGUAUCAAGAGUCAAUGUACAAGUAUGGAUAACAGCGAGAACCUAAUCUCCCUCCUCAGGCCAAUGUCCUGAAUAUACAAGUAAGAUUUAUCAUACCUUAAUAGACUAACAAUUAUUCUAUUUAUCAUACCUCCCAAAUAACUGUUAUUACAGUUAUGCUUUCCAUUGUUCAACCGAAUGGCUCUUGUUCAACCGAACGGUUCCUUCUCCCACUCCCUUAACUGUUCGGCGUUCACCUCAUGCCCAACCGUUCGGCUUUUGCCUCAUGCCCCCACUACAUGUGGUUGCUCGGCCCCUACUGCCUAUAGCCGUUCGGCUCCUUCCCCAUCACCCUUAACCGUUUGGUUUUUUCUUCUCUCACGUACUUUCCCGCCCCUAUCAUUCAAAAAUACAUUCCCAUACCUUCCAUUUGUAAUAAUCUAAUUCUCCUAAAAAAGGAAAAUAGAGAAACUAGGAAAUCUAGGAAAUUAAAAUAAAAUAAAAAAUUAUGUAUCUAUUUCCUCUAAUUAGGAAGAUUCUAAAGAUAUUAUCUCAAAUUACAACAAGAGUAAUUUCUCAAUUUAUGUUGGAUCAAAUUAAUUGUUACAAUUCAAAUAUUCCACUUCCAUUGUCUACAAAUGAAACAAUAUGUAAAGUCUAUCAUAUCUCAAGUCUGAAAGUCAUUUAGUAUUAUUUACAUUCCUAUUUGAGCUCUCAUAUAAAAUAAGUUAAACGAUCAUUGCACAGAUACACAUAAACAAGCAAACAAACGUAAUGGUGAGUUAACAUAAAAAAAAUAAUAAACACAUAACCAAACAACAACAACCACUCAAAAAUAUGAUAUCACCUGUGUUCUAACGAUUCACAAUUCGACCACGACAACAAACCAAUAUUUCCCCCAUCUUUCCCUCAUGGUACAUUACUUCCAAUGGUAUAACAAUUAUCAAACCAUACCACAUCAGGGGGUUGAGUAGUCACACCCACUCUUACUGUCUUAAUACAAUCGGAAGAGUGCUCCCUUCCACUGCUACUUGCAGGCGAAAGGAAGACCCCAACCUCGGGUAUCAAUACCAAACACAAACCAUAAUUGGGGGGUUGAGCGAUCCAACCCACUCUUACUGUCUCAAUACAGUCAAAAGAGUGCUCCCUCUCACUUACUUGCAAGCGAAAGGAAAACUCCAACCUCGAGUAUCAAUACCAAACAAAGUUGACUUCCAAUAAUUUGGACUAUUUCCUAUCCAAUCUCAACUCACUAUAAAGGAGUAUAUCCAUUGAUACCCAAAUAACAAUAUAUCAAAGCAAUUUGGACAAUCCAACCAUUCAAUAAAUUUACUAUACACACAUCCAAUCAUUCAAUAUUAUCCAACCGAGCAUUGCAUCCAUUCCAAAAUUUACAUUCAGUCAUAUCAAUUUAUAAUACUUCACCUAAUGCAAUCCAACGCAUAUCUCAUUCAUUAUUUCAAACAACUAACUAAUAAAACUUAAUAUAUUUUACAACCCAAAGACUUAAUCAAACUAAACAUCCAUUCCAAAUUUCCAAUUUACUCUUCUCAAAAACACCUUAUUAUACUAAAAUCACAAAGUGUUUUAGUGCAUAAUUUUAACUCAAACAUCAAGCAUUGGAUGCAGUAUUGUAUUUAAAAAGAAAAAAAAACAGCAAACAGUAAUAAUAGUGUUCCAAAACAGCACCAAACAGCAGAAUUUAUUAGUGUAAAACAGAAAGAAAAUAAUGCUGAAACAGUCCACAAUAGUACAGAAAAAAGCAAUGAUUUAAGUGCUGAAACAGCCAGCAAAGAAUGCAGAAACAGUAAAUAAAACACCAACAUUUUACACAGCACAUGCAACCAAAUUUCCCUUGCAUUUACCGUGAAACAGAAACAUAAGAUGUACAAAAUAGAUAAGUUUAUCAAGACAAGUUAAAUUACUUUCAUUCUAAAAAAAAUAGGAUGUUUAAAUGAUAUUAGUUCUAAACUGUACUUCUAGUUAAAUAACACCUUAUCUAGAAACACAUUCCAUUUCUUAUUCGUCUAAUUCUCCUAGGUUAAUUAAUCCAAAAUAGAUAUGUUCCUCACUUUUCCAACCCAGACAUCAGAUGAUCACACAAUUAGAUAACACAUACUCCAAAACAUUGCAUCUUCGUAACUACCAUUGGGACCCAAGAUAUUCUUAAACAAAAUAAGAGUUUGAUGAUGACCUAGACUCCAGAUAUAUCAAAGUUCAUUCUACCAACUGACUUAGCUUGCAUACUACUUAAAAUAGCUAAAAGUUAUAAUAAGAUUACUAGUCUACGCUCCACUAAUUUUGCACUUCUAAUUUUAAAUGCCCAUUAUCUAUAAAUGGCUUUCUAGAUCAAACCACACUCAUUGCCAAACCUGUACAUGUCAACACAAAACAGAUUCUAUUUCACACAGUCAAAUAUAACAUAUAACAUGCACCCAUCAUGUCUAUCACGCCUACAAAUUGAGCCCAACAGAGUUUAUAUUUACAGAUUAAGCUAACAAACAUGACUUAAGCACAUGACGAUUCACAUUUCAAUCAAAAUCCCCUGUAUUAGCAUUCCAGAUAACAAGGCAUGCCAUUAAUCACACUUUUCAGAAACACAACUUUCAACGUCAACACAUUGACAUAAUGCAGUCAAUUACCGAAUACUAUGCCUUUUCCUAGCAUCGAAAGCAUUAUACUAAUCCACAUUAUAUCAAAUUUACAGUCACAACCAUUCUCAUAAUAAAUUUCCCAUUCAAAAUGCAUAAAACAACAUAAACCCUACUUUCAAAACACACAAAGCAAGAUUAGUUCCCCAUACCUGUUCGAUUUUCCCUUUACCGCAACCCUCAGUUCGAACUUCAUGUAUCUAGCUCUCCCGCUCCUGCGUUCACUCUCUGACUCGCAAACUCGUUCUCUCAGUGCCUCUCACUCACCAACGAUCUCGCUCGUCACGGAUUGAGCAUUUAGUGCUCUCCCUCGCGCAACCCUCUCCCUCUCACGCCCUUUCCCCGUCGUUAAGGUUUUUCGAAGAAAGAAAGAAGGAGAAGAAAGAAGAGGGAUUAUCGAAAAGGAAAGAAAGGAAGAAAAAUGGACUUCCCCCAAGCUGACCCUGUCUCUCCACUCCUGGCUAAUGGGCUUCGUAGUCUAAGCCCUAAACUAAGCCUGAUGCCCCCAAAAAAUAAAACACAGUAAAUCAAAAAAAUAAAUUAUUUUGUUCCCAGCCAAGUUCAAGCACAAGUACCUUCGUCACACGGACGAGCACAGAACACUUUUAUUAAUUUAAAAUAAAAUAAUUAAACUUCUCAUUCAACUGGAUCUUUCAGUGGUGUCUACUGGGGUCAUAAAUUAUGAAUAUGAAUGAAGUAUGUGGUGAAGAAAGUUUGAUCGAAGACCAUCAAGAUAAUAUAUUGAACCUUGUACUAGAGCAAUGACAAAGAUGAUAAAAGAGGAAAAUGGACCU
RNAcentral lists this long non-coding RNA (5909 nucleotides) under Vigna radiata. RNAcentral's name for it is "long non-coding RNA (VRAD_LNC011870)". Lineage: Eukaryota; Viridiplantae; Streptophyta; Magnoliopsida; Fabales; Fabaceae. The record is from RNAcentral.